RNAcentral lists this long non-coding RNA (1289 nucleotides) under Daucus carota (carrot). RNAcentral describes it as "long non-coding RNA (DCAR_LNC007526)". The record is from RNAcentral. Lineage: Eukaryota; Viridiplantae; Streptophyta; Magnoliopsida; Apiales; Apiaceae.
UAAAAACAGGAUCGCUAAUAGGUUACAGCAUUGAAAUCAAAAACCAAAACUUUAAAUCUUAUUACAACUUAAACUACAUUAUCAGUUAAACCUCGAUAAGAAGAAUAACUGACAACCAAAUAAAUAAAUCUAUCUACAACUGAAUUGAAAUAAAUCAACUCUAACCAUAGCCAUUCUCACAGACAUCUCCAUGGCAAUCUCGCCUAGCAUCAGUCUUACGCGCAGCUUACACAGGUUACCUUCUCAAUCCCUAGCUGAAAGGGUUAGAAAUAAUAGCAAGGGUGAGCAAAAAUGCUCAGCAAGAUAAUAGGUAAGGCAAGAGCCACAAGAUAUAAAUUCUUUUGAAUUAAAUCAGAGUAUUUGAAAUAGAGCAAACUUUUGAAGUAAAUCAUAACAUUUGUAACUGAAAAGUUUAUCAAACAUAUAAAUCAAUAUGCUUGAAAAUUCACAAGAUAUAUUUGACAGUAAACAUAAGCUAUCAUAGGCUUAAACAAUAACGACCAGUUUUUGAAUUGGAAUCCACAAUUGACGGGUGCACUAUCACAAUUGAUCAUACCAUGUGAUAGCACAGGACCACACUUCGUAGAAGCAUGUCCUAAUUAACAGGUACCAAAUAGAAGGCAACACAUUAGCCUUUGGCAGCAAAGUAUUAUCAUAUUUCAAUAAUACCCAAAUAGCCCUUCACUGGACCGCCGUCCCGGCCUCUUAUGCAAAAACAAAGAAAUAUUCCGAUUUCUUCCGGAAGCAGAUGACAUAUCAUGUUUCUGAAAACUUUUUGUUUUCAAAUUCAAAAUACUGUCAAAAAUCAAAUUUUAUCAAAGUCUGAGUACAAUUUAAAAAUCCACCGUAAUAAGGCUCAAAGGAAAAACAAAGCUAUUUAGUUAUUUAAAAUCCAGGGUUUAUGUCUGGGACAGAAGACCAGGCAUAUAUUGUAAUGUCGAAAUAUGACUGCUAUAGAGUCAUCAAUAGUUUCAAACUGUAAAGUAACUCAGACAAUAAUCUUUCAGAAAACUGAUUAAUUCUUAAUCAGUAUACUUUUCAAAGAAUGAUAUCAUUGUGCAUACCACUAAAAAAAAGAUCGAACUAAAAAUAUUCGAUAAUUUUAAUCACAGUGUAAAAGUAUGAAUGCUUGCAGAAAUACAAGUCAUGCAUGGAUAGAAAACCGCGUUAUUAAAAGAGAGAGUUAAAAUAUUUGCUCUUUAAAUAAAAGUGAAGAAUUGGAAUACUUGCCUCUGACUGAACACAAGUGACAACACGGUCACUCUACUCGAGAUUUCUAGAUUGACCUC